RNAcentral lists this ribosomal RNA (265 nucleotides) under uncultured archaeon. RNAcentral describes it as "partial 16S ribosomal RNA". It matches the Rfam family "Archaeal small subunit ribosomal RNA", at positions 717 to 982 of the family's 1478-position model. The record is from RNAcentral.
ACACGACUACAUUAGAUACCCCCGUAGUCCUAGCCGUAAACGAUACUCGCUAGGUAUCGGCCACGGUGCGACCGUUGUCGGUGCCGUAGGGAAGCCGUGAAGCGAGCCACCUGGGAAGUACGGCCGCAAGGCUGAAACUUAAAGGAAUUGGCGGGGGAGCACCACAACGGGUGGAGCUUGCGGUUUAAUUGGAUUCAACGCCGGAAAUCUUACCGGGACCGACAGCAACAUGAAGGCCAGGCUGAAGACUUUGCCGGAUUAGCUG